Small nuclear RNA from Myotis lucifugus (little brown bat), 105 nucleotides. The record is from Ensembl. NCBI's taxonomy places the organism in Eukaryota, Metazoa, Chordata, Mammalia, Chiroptera, Vespertilionidae.
GUUGCACGCAGUUCAGUAGCAUAUCCUAAAAGUGGAAUGGAACGAAGAUCAGCAUGGCCGCCGUGCAAGGAUGACACACACAUCUAUGAAGCGUUCCAUAUUUUU